AGAGUUUGAUCCUGGCUCAGGAUGAACGCUAGCUACAGGCUUAACACAUGCAAGUCGAGGGGAAACGAUAUUGGAAGCUUGCUUCCGAUAGGCGUCGACCGGCGCACGGGUGAGUAACGCGUAUCCAACCUGCCCAUCACUUGGGGAUAACCUUGCGAAAGUAAGACUAAUACCCAAUGACGUCUCUAGAAGACAUCUGAAGGAGAUUAAAGAUUUAUCGGUGAUGGAUGGGGAUGCGUCUGAUUAGCUUGUUGGCGGGGUAACGGCCCACCAAGGCAACGAUCAGUAGGGGUUCUGAGAGGAAGGUCCCCCACAUUGGAACUGAGACACGGUCCAAACUCCUACGGGAGGCAGCAGUGAGGAAUAUUGGUCAAUGGGCGAGAGCCUGAACCAGCCAAGUAGCGUGCAGGAAGACGGCCCUAUGGGUUGUAAACUGCUUUUAUAAGGGAAUAAAGUGAGUCUCGUGAGACUUUUUGCAUGUACCUUAUGAAUAAGGACCGGCUAAUUCCGUGCCAGCAGCCGCGGUAAUACGGAAGGUCCGGGCGUUAUCCGGAUUUAUUGGGUUUAAAGGGAGCGUAGGCCGGAGAUUAAGCGUGUUGUGAAAUGUAGACGCUCAACGUCUGCACUGCAGCGCGAACUGGUUUCCUUGAGUACGCACAAAGUGGGCGGAAUUCGUGGUGUAGCGGUGAAAUGCUUAGAUAUCACGAAGAACUCCGAUUGCGAAGGCAGCUCACUGGAGCGCAACUGACGCUGAAGCUCGAAAGUGCGGGUAUCGAACAGGAUUAGAUACCCUGGUAGUCCGCACGGUAAACGAUGGAUGCCCGCUGUUGGUCUGAACAGGUCAGCGGCCAAGCGAAAGCAUUAAGCAUCCCACCUGGGGAGUACGCCGGCAACGGUGAAACUCAAAGGAAUUGACGGGGGCCCGCACAAGCGGAGGAACAUGUGGUUUAAUUCGAUGAUACGCGAGGAACCUUACCCGGGCUUGAAUUGCAGAGGAAGGAUUUGGAGACAAUGACGCCCUUCGGGGUCUCUGUGAAGGUGCUGCAUGGUUGUCGUCAGCUCGUGCCGCGAGAUGUUGGGUUAAGUCCCGCAACGAGCGCAACCCCUAUCUUAUGUUACCAGCACGUUAUGGUGGGGACUCAUGAGAGACCGCCGCGGACAACGCGGAGGAAGGUGGGGAUGACGUCAAGUCAUCAUGCCCCUUAUGACCUGGGCUACACACGUACUACAAUGGGUGUCAACAAAGAAAAGCGAAACCGCGAGGUGGAGCGAACCUCAAAAACACACCCCCAGUUCAGAUUGCAGGCUGCAACCCGCCUGCAUGAAGUAGGAAUCGCUAGUAAUCGCGGGUCAGCAUACCGCGGUGAAUACGUUCCCGGGCCUUGUACACACCGCCCGUCACACCAUGAGAGUCGGAAACACCCGAAGCCGGUGAGGUAACCGCAAGGAGCCAGCCGUCGAAGGUGGAGCUGAUGAUUGGAGUGAAGUCGUAACAAGGUA
Molecule: ribosomal RNA, 1500 nt
Filed under: metagenome
Description: bacterial SSU rRNA
Rfam family: Bacterial small subunit ribosomal RNA
Source: RNAcentral